This 459-nucleotide ribosomal RNA is filed under the name uncultured bacterium. Its description in RNAcentral is "partial 16S ribosomal RNA". It matches the Rfam family "Bacterial small subunit ribosomal RNA", at positions 29 to 507 of the family's 1533-position model. The record is from RNAcentral.
AACGAACGCUGGCGGCAUGCCUAACACAUGCAAGUCGAACGAUACCUUCUGGUCCAGUGGCGCACGUGUGCGUAACGCGUCGGAACCUUCCCGUAUGGUCGGAAUAACUCCCCGAGAGGGGUGAUAAUACCGGAUAAUUGCUUCUGACCAAUAAUUUAUUUCCUUAUGAUUUGCCCGCUUUGGAUUAGCUAUUUGGUAACGUAAAUGCCUACCAAGGCGAUGAUACAUAGCUGGUCUGAGAGGGUGAUCAGCCACCCUGGGACGGUGACACGGCCCAGACGCCUAGGGGAGGCAGCAGUAGGGAAUCGUCGGGAAUGGAAGAAAGGCUGACCGAGCAACGACGCGUGAGUGAAGAAGGUUUCCGGAUCGUAAAACUCUGUUGGUAGAGAAGAACGUUGGUGAGAGUGGAAAGCGCAUCAAGUGACGGUAACUACCCAGAAAGGGACGGCGAACUACGUG